RNAcentral lists this ribosomal RNA (4442 nucleotides) under Triticum aestivum (bread wheat). RNAcentral describes it as "partial small subunit ribosomal RNA". The record is from RNAcentral. Lineage: Eukaryota; Viridiplantae; Streptophyta; Magnoliopsida; Poales; Poaceae.
CCCCAAUCCCCCUCCCGUCCGAGCACGGCGCCCGCCGGCGCUCCACCGCGAUUCGCGAGGCCCAUCUGCUCCCUGGGCGGCAUGGCGUGCGCUGCCCCCUCACCCAAUCUCGCGCUUCAGUCUCAGUCCGGCAGUCGACGACGCUCUCCUCCCCCGCUGCCGCUGGAGGAGAGCGUCAUCGCGGUUCAGCAUCAUGGCGGUCGCGCGUGAGACCCAGCACAGAGAGGGGGCAGUGCUGAUUUGAACAGGGCCUCAAUUUCCACUCACAUGUGAAAUAUUUGCUCCAGGAUGUAGAUGUAUUUCUGAGGGAGUGUGCUACUACUUUUCUUGGAGAGUUCUACAAGGUAAUAGUAUAAAAUCACUCUUGACUCUUCUAAUUGGUUUGUGUACAUAACUUUUCAUUCCCAGUGGGUGCUUGGUUUGGACUAAUUAAUGGAUCAAUAAUCUCUGGACAAAGUUAUGCGUGCAGGAAAAAAUGGCUGGAAAGAGGAGUGGAGGCUGCACAGUGCAUGCACUCAGCAGGGUCACAUGUGAACAGAAUGCAGAGCAGAGGAGGCAGCAGCAGAGGACGCACUCCUAUCUCUCUCUCAAUUAUUGGGAGCUCUCACUCCCAGCCUCAGUCUCACACUCUCACUACUCGCGUCCUCAUCCUCCGUCGAUCCACCCACCGCCGGUGCCCCACGCUGCCGUCUCCAACUCCAACCUCGAUGCAGCGAAUAAAGGAAAGACGACGACGCCCAUGGCACAUGAAUUUUCAGUACCUGGGAGCUUGAGCAAGGACAAACCAGCUUAAUUACUUGUUCCCUGCUUGUGUCUCGUGCAAAUCGAACCAGGCGCGUCGUCGCCGCGGGAAGGGUCUACUGUACAGGUUCAUCACAGCCAAAUGAGCUACUGUGUUUGGAGAGACAAAGGGAAGUUUGAUGGUUAUAUGGAAUCAACAAAAUAAAAUGUAGGUGUGUGACAUCUUCUUAAUGAGUUGGACUGCACAAAGAAAUAAGAGGGAUCAUCUUUUGAUGUUGGUACUCAAGUGAGAACUUGGUGAGUGAGAUUUGGACACUUGGUUCGAGUUGUCGGAAACCUCAACAACCAUGGCGGAGGCUGUUGUUGGGCAGCUGGUGAUGACACUCGGGGCAGCGCUGGCGAAAGAGGCGGCAACCUAUGGUGGGGCGCUGCUGUGCAAGGAAGCCGCGGCCCUGAGGGGUCUCUUCGGCAAGAUCCGCCAGUCCAAGGUGGAGCUGGAGAGCAUGCAAGCGUACCUGCAGGAGGCGGAGCGGUUCAAGGACACCGACAAGACCACCGCCAUCUUCGUCGGCGAGAUCAGGCACCUGGCCUUCCAAAUCGAGGACGUCGUCGACGAGUUCACCUACAAGAUGGAGGACUGCAAGCACGGAGGGUUCGCCGGCAAGAUGAAGAAGCGGCUCAAGCAUAUCAAGACCCGGCACCGCCUGGCAGCCAAGCUCCAAGAAAUCGAAGCGCAGCUGCAGGAAGCCAACCGGAGGAAGAGGGAUUACGCUGUCACCGGCAGAUCUGCUUCUGCUGCCAGAUCGAUGAAUCAAGGUCAAGCUUUGCAAUUCACCAGGGAUGAGGAUCUUGUGGGGAUCGAGGAGAACAAGGAGAGGUUGAUACGGUGGCUGACAGGCGGUGGUGAUGGUCUGGGGCAGAACAGCAGCAAAGUCACCCUGGUGUGGGGGAUGCCUGGUGUUGGUAAAACCACUCUGGUUGAUCAUGUGUACAACACCGUGAAAGAGGAUUUCGAUGCCGCAGCGUGGGUAACUGUGUCGGAAAGUUACCGUAUUGAGGAUUUAUUGAAGAAGAUUGCCGGCCAGUUCGGCAUUGCAGUCGACAUCGCCAACGUUGAGAUGAGAGGCCUAGCAAAGUCCAUCCACCAGUACCUUCAAGGUAAAAAGUACAUCAUGGUCCUGGAUGAUGUUUGGGCUGAGUGCUUUUGGUCGGAGAUAAGGGAUGUCUUCCCAACAUCUAACUGUAUCGGCCGAGUUGUGAUGACAUCAAGAAAGCAGACAGUGUUGGUAACCAGGGAGUCCGCAUACGCAAUUCACUUGGAACCACUACAAGCAUAUCACUCCUGGGUGUUGUUCUGCAAAGGGGCUUUUUGGAAUGCUGAUGACAAAAGGUGCCCGUUGGAGCUGCAGGAAUUGGCUCGAAAGUUCAUAGCAAAGUGUCAAGGCUUGCCUAUUGCUAUUACAUGCAUUGGCCGCCUGCUCUCCUGGAAACUCCCAACUUCCGUUGAAUGGGAGGAUGUGUACAGGGGUUUGGAUUCGCAGUUGGCGAAAGAUGUGAUCCCUGAUGCUCAUAUGAUCCUAAAGGUCAGCUUGGAAGAUCUUCCAUAUGAUUUGAAGAAUUGUUUCUUACAUUGUGCAUUAUCGCCAGAAGAUUUUAAAUUAAAGAGGAGAAGGAUAAUCAGGCAAUGGAUUGCGGUGGGGUUUGUCAGGGAAAAAAAUGAGGGAAAAACAUUGGAGCAAGUGGCAGAGGGAUACUUGGUUGAGCUUGUUAAUCGAAGCCUGUUACAAGUAGUGCAAAGGAAUUAUGCCGGACGACUGAAAUAUUGCAGGAUGCAUGAUGUCAUACGGCUUCUUGCCCUUAGAAAAGCCAAGGAGGAAUGCUUUGGUAAAGUUUAUAAUGGCUCUGGUAUUGGGUCAUUCUUUGUAGAGGGUUCACGUCGCAUAUCAGUCCAGGGCGAAAACCUUGAACAAUUGAGCCUAUCUGGCCCAACACAGCUUCGUGCGCUCCAUGUAUUUGAGAAGUAUAUCAAUGUUGAUUUGCUGAAGCCUAUCCUAACAUCUUCUAAUUUGUUGUCGACAUUGGAUCUGCAAGGUACUUGUAUCAAAAUAUUGCCCAAUGAAGUAUUCAACUUGUUUAAUCUGCGUUAUUUGGGCAUUAGAGGUACCAAGAUCGAAAGCUUGCCUGAAUCGGUGGGGAGGUUACAAAACUUAGAAGUCUUGGAUGCUUGGGACUCUAAGAUGAAGUAUUUGCCAAACAAUGUUGUAAAACUUUAGAAGUUGAGAUACCUAUACACAUAUGUUGUCGGUUCAUUCGAAAUUGGUGUUAAGGUGCCUAGUGGCAUGCAGCACUUGGCAGGAUUGCGGGCUCUUCAGUCCAUCAACGCCAGUCCUGAGUUUCUGCGUGAAGUUGCAGCUCUGACGGAGCUAAGGACAUUUGGUGUCUGCAAUGUGGGAGGUGAACACUCUGCUGACUUGAGAAAUGCUAUCACCAAAAUGAGUCAUCUUGCGAGUCUCCAAAUUCGUGCUGCAGCUGAGGAUGAGGUGCUGCGACUGGAAGGGCUAUAUUUACCUGCAACCCUUCAUGUGCUUGGUUUAGGAGGGCAGCUAGAAAAAACAAUGAUGCCUCAGCUUUUCUCUUCUUGGUCACACCUUAAUAGCCUCACUCGGUUGCACCUGGCAUUCUCCAAUAUUGAUGAGGAAACCUUUUCCUGUCUGCACGUGUUACGUGGUCUAUGCUUUCUUUUCCUAGCGAAGGCUUUUGAAGGGCAGAGGUUGGAUUUUUAUGCAGGGUCAUUUCCAAAACUUAGGCAUCUAUGGAUAGAGGGUGCAACGCAGCUCAACCAAGUUGGAAUAGAGACUGGUGCGAUGCAAAACCUUGUCGAGCUACGGUUUGCAGACUGUCCCGAGCUAAAGUUUCUUCCUGAUGGCAUUGAACACCUCGCAGCCCUUGAGAAAUUAUUUAUGCAAGACAUAUCAAAAGAGUUGAUAGAGAAGCUCCGGCUGAACAGAGAUUCAAAUGAAUGCAGCGAAGAUGUAAUGAAGAUUAGUCACAUAAGGAAUGUUUCAGUUUGCCAAAGAGGAUCUUGGGAAAGGAUUGUGUGACCGUCACUAUUACCAAGACACAUUUCACUCAACUGUGGAGGAGACCAAGGACGUUGAGGUUACAUCUGCUGCCGUGGUUGUUAGUUGUUACUACUGUUAUAUAUGAGCUUCGUCCUGCUUUGGAUCGAAGGCAAGUGAGACGGGUCAGGUUCUUGAAGGCAAAUAUAGAGAUACAUUUAUGUGACGUGGCGAUUUCCUAGCAGAAAAGAAGAAAAAGAACUAUGAGCUGGCAUACUCAUCAGCGCACAAUCAUGAAGGGGACAACAUUGGCAUUGUUAGACAAGCUUCAGCAUGCCUGAAUGUGCCCACGUACCUGAUGCCACCGAUUCUACAUGAGUAGGCAGCGUUUCUUCGCUGAUCCAUCUUUCGAGCUUUUCAGUUUGUGUACUGCCCGUUAGCACUUGUAAUCUAUAUAAGCUUUAACAUGCAAGUAUCUGUUCCUCGUUAUUCAGCAGGCAUAUCCUGCUGGAAACACAAUCUGGAAUCAUGUUGCUGUAAACUAAAACUUUACUCACUUUCUGAGUAUAUGCAUGUUAGCUCCAAGUGAUGCUGGUUGAGUGUUCAUCCAAUAAUGCAAAGUUACUGUUUUGUUUGCAAACA